Long non-coding RNA from Sycon ciliatum, 398 nucleotides. RefSeq lists it as uncharacterized. Lineage: Eukaryota; Metazoa; Porifera; Calcarea; Leucosolenida; Sycettidae. The record is from RefSeq and is a predicted model, not a curated record. The transcript has 3 exons.
GUGACACCGUUUAGAGCAUCAGAGUUUGUGUAUCCUCGCUACAGUGUCGAUUCUUGUGCCAAGCUUUGUCUUUGGUGCCAAGCAGCGCCUGCAGUGACUGUGGAAGUUUCAGUGGUGGAUACUAUUACCUAGGCAGCGCAUGAACAUCAAGAUGUCUGCGAUUCAUUACCAGCUAAGUGUUCCCUUUCUUCUACUAGCGUUGACAACCAAUCUGUGUGAAGCCCAAUUUACAAUGUCACUGACCUCCGAUUACCAGACGAAUGCCAACCAUACGCGUGAGCCGCAUAGACAUGCAACUGAUCCCUACACACUGCUAGAGAACUCCACAGCACCACUGCACAUCGCCAAUGUCUAUUGCCAGGUCCAGGCAUACGCGUUCUACUACAACAGGGCCGGCA